GUCUACGGCCAUACCACCCUGAACGCGGCCGAUCUUGUCUGAUCUCGGAAGCAGAGUUGGGCCUGUUUAGUACUUGGAUGGGAGACUGCCUGGGAAUACCGUGAACUGUGGGCU
This 114-nucleotide ribosomal RNA is filed under the name Colobus angolensis palliatus. The record is from RNAcentral. Lineage: Eukaryota; Metazoa; Chordata; Mammalia; Primates; Cercopithecidae.